CCGCUGCGUCAUCUGGGGAGUAGCCAGCCGUUCCUGACGGAACGGGCCGUUCGUCAACAUAUUUGGCCGAGAGGCCAUGGCGGGCGGGAUGCGAGGGGUGGUUCGACGUCCUAUCCGCAUC
Molecule: small RNA, 121 nt
Filed under: Sphingobium indicum
Lineage: Bacteria; Pseudomonadati; Pseudomonadota; Alphaproteobacteria; Sphingomonadales; Sphingobiaceae
Description: Sphingobium japonicum Manganese sequence
Rfam family: Manganese Mn2+ riboswitch aptamer (yybP-ykoY) (bases 14-121)
About the family: This RNA was originally discovered in E. coli during a large scale screen and was named SraF. The family was later found to exist upstream of related families of protein genes in many bacteria, including the the yybP and ykoK genes in B. subtilis.
Source: RNAcentral